CGCAUCUGUGCAUGCAGCAUAUCAAUAAGCGGAGGAAAAGAAACUAACAAGGAUUCCCCUAGUAACGGCGAGUGAAGCGGGAAGAGCUCAAAUUUGAAAUCUUAAAGGGUUUCCCUUUACGAAUUGUAGUUUAAAGAAGUGUUUUCUGUUGAGGUUUUGGUAAAAGUUCUUUGGAAUAGGACAUCAUAGAGGGUGAGAAUCCCGUAUUUGACCUUUACUUUCAACUUUGUGAUACACUUUCAAAGAGUCGGAUUGUUUGGGAAUGCAGUCCAAAAUGGGUGGUAAAUUUCAUCUAAAGCUAAAUAUUGGCGAGAGACCGAUAGCGAACAAGUACCGUGAGGGAAGAGAUGAAAAGAACUUUGAGAAGAGAGUUAAGCAGUACGUGAAAUUGUCAAAAGGGAAGCGUUUGACACCAGUGUUGUUUUUCUGAAAAUCAAUUAAAGAACUGUUUAUGCUAAGUUGUUUAGACUUUAUCAGCUAACUGUUUAGUUUUGAGCUUUCUUUAAUGCACUUUUCAGUUAACAAGUCAACAUCAAUUUCUUUUGCUGUAAAAAAGCUUGAGGAAGGUGGCUUGAGAUUCGUCUUAAGUGUUUAUAGCCUCUUGCCUAUGCAGUCGGAGAGAUUGAGGUCUGCAGCGUAGAUCCUUCGGGGCUAAAUGCAUUUGUGCUAAGUUAUAGCAUUUUAUAGACAACUUGUUGACUAUGAUUUGUCUUGUAGCUUACUCGCUUAUGUUAUUUUACCUACGCUUAGGAUGUUGAGUCAUCACACAUCUCU
RNAcentral lists this ribosomal RNA (774 nucleotides) under uncultured Neocallimastigales. Its description in RNAcentral is "partial large subunit ribosomal RNA". It matches the Rfam family "Eukaryotic large subunit ribosomal RNA", at positions 26 to 614 of the family's 3401-position model. The record is from RNAcentral. Lineage: Eukaryota; Fungi; Neocallimastigomycota; Neocallimastigomycetes; Neocallimastigales.